Molecule: long non-coding RNA, 953 nt
Filed under: Gallus gallus (chicken)
Lineage: Eukaryota; Metazoa; Chordata; Aves; Galliformes; Phasianidae
Description: lncRNA (ENSGALG00010004648.1)
Source: RNAcentral
CAGGGUGCCCCCCUCUGCGGCCUGCUGCAGCACCGUUGGGAACCCCGCGGGGCAUCAGUAGGGAGCUGCUGCAGGAGGAAGGCGGCAAAGCGGUGCGUGGACCUGGGAGGAAGGAGCGAGCAAGAAGAGGAGCCGGAGCCUGCGGAUGGGCCAAGGAGAGGCGCCCUGGGCAAAAGCAUCUCCCUGUCACCAGGGACACAGUCAUGUUGCAGUAGAGCUUUGCCGGCACUCUGGAUGACCGGGCCGGCUUUGUGCUGGGCGACCUCCCUGUAACCAGGGCUCGGGUCUUUGCUGUAGUUGGCCUUUUGCCUCGUUGCUCCUUUGGCUGCCUGGGGAACGUGGGCCCCUGUAGGAAGGGCGAGAGCCACGUCCUCCGCACCCGAGUGGGGAAAUGGAGCUCGCUGGACCCCACGGCCCCCUGUAAGCAGGGUAGUGCCGUUUCCCUGCCGCUCUUGGUUUGGCCGCUCGGCGUUGUUGCCUGCUGGUGGCCUUGCCCGUGUGACGACCCUGUACUCGGGGUGCUUGUUCUGCUAUAUGGCCUUGGGCCUUUACGUGAGAAGCCCCGUGGCACGUUGAGGUCUGUGGCCUCCGUGCAGCCUGGGGGCGGGUCAGAGGCUCUUGUCUGCUUGCUCGCGGGGUACGGGGUUUUUUUUCCCCAGGCCUUGGCUGCACUGCCUUCUCCUUCCCUUCUGGAAAGCUGGUAUCUGUGUGUGUGCGUUCCCCUUCCUUCCCUUGUUUGUGUUUGCGUGUGAGCGAUGGUGCGAUUGAACCUUCCCUUUAGGCCUCCAUGAAAACAGCUGCAGCUUAGCUUUGGCUUCCCGGGGGGGAAUGGAGGACUUGGUGGAUGCAGCAAGGGGGAUGUUCCCUCUCAGUCCCGCGAGCGGCGCGAGUGUCCUCCUGUCUUGCCCCCUUUUUUUGCUAGGACGUUGCGGAGCCGUGUGGUAGUUGUGGGG